UCUCUCUGAAUCUGCGAACGGCUCCGCAAAACAGUUGUAAACUAUAGCAAGCACGCUUAUCAGGCCGCAAGGCUGGCGCUGGGGUUAUAAGGAUAACCCUGGUAAUUCUGAGGCUAAUACAUGAUCGUACCACCUGGCUGACCGGGCAACUGGAAGGCUGGGGGACGUGUGAUAUAUGCAGAUGAUUGCUGGGAAUAGACGCACGUCCAGACCGCCAUAUCAAACAGUCUUGCCUCGACCUCACGGAACGGGCUUGUCUGGGCGGCUCUUGCUGUGUGCUUCUGACCUAUCAACUAGAUGGCAGCGUAAGGGACAUGCUAUGGUUACAACGGGUACAGAGGAUAAGGGUUCGAUCCUGGAGAGUGGGCCUGAGAGAUU
Molecule: ribosomal RNA, 378 nt
Filed under: uncultured myxomycete
Lineage: Eukaryota; Evosea; Eumycetozoa
Description: SSU rRNA
Rfam family: Eukaryotic small subunit ribosomal RNA
Source: RNAcentral